This is a non-coding RNA of Meleagris gallopavo (turkey), 6120 nucleotides long. The record is from RefSeq and is a predicted model, not a curated record. NCBI's taxonomy places the organism in Eukaryota, Metazoa, Chordata, Aves, Galliformes, Phasianidae.
UCUUCUACAGUGUUUCUCACACUUAGGAGGAAAUUCCACAAAAGUUCAUCACCAAUUUUAGAUUUUUUAAAAAAAAUUUCCAGUGGAAACAUUACAGCCACUAACCUUCUGGAGCACUGGUGACAUGACCUAUUACUCUAAAUAUUAUCUAUCACAAUUUAAUAUUGGACAAAUAAGCUCAAAACCCUUUGGUGAGGAUAAUAAUCUCAUUUAUGAGUGUUAUGUAAGUUAGUAUCAUAUGGUCCAGGUCUUUCAGUUUUACAAGAUCUUACUGCAUUCAGAGCAGUAGCCAAAAGCAGUUGUUCUUGCUCAAGGUACUUCAUCCUCCAGACUGAAAUGUGACAUAAUUAGAUACUUGAGGAAUAUUUCUCUCUCUGUGUGUAAAGUCAAUAGACUUUUUAUUAAGUUAAGUGUGACUAGUGUAAAACUUACACUGGGCUGGAACUUAUCUCUGUUUAGUUAGCAAAGCAAACUGUGACUGUUUAAAGUAUUAAAUUACAGAGAAAGACAUGAAUCUUUCUUUUAGCACUAAAAUUUGAGAAUAAAUCCAAUAUAUAAUAGUGUAAUGGAUGACUUUGUAUUCAGUUUGGCUUAAUAUUUACAUAGCUUGAAGACGAUUUUGUUUCUCAGGUAUUGGCUUUUUUAUUGUAGUUACACAUUACUAUGAAUUGUGCGUAUUUUACUAUCAUUUAUAAUGGCUACUGGCUUUCUAUUCUGGAAAAGAAUAACAAUAAUCACUUCCUGAUGCUUGGAAUAAAUCUAUAUAUGAAAAAAACUGUGAAAGUAAGAAGAUAUGAGUGUGGCAAGAGGCAACAAUGGGAAAAAAAUAACUGUAAGACAAGUGAAGUAGAGUCUGAAAAGUUUACCUGUUUCCUCAGAUCGCAUACCAUGUGUGGCAUUUAAUGAGGAAAGUGAUUCAAAUAUUAAGUGCUAGAUGAACUAUGGAAUGAAUUUAGGGUUUUCAUGGAAGGUAGAUGCAUAUUAAGCACAACAGGUAAGACAUUCAUCUAAAAAUAGAAAUUCUAUACUCAGCACUGGUGCGGCUGCAUCCUGAGUACUAUGUUCUGCUUUACACCCCUCACAACAAGACAUUGAAGCCCUAGAGCAUGUUCAGAGGAGGGCAAUGAAACUGUGAGGGAUCUGGAGCACAAGUCUUAUGAGAAGCAGCUGAAAAGGCUGGGGUUAUUUAGUCUGGAGAAGAGGACACUCAGGGGAGGCUUUAUUGCUUUUUACAACUACCUGAAGGGAGGUUGUGGUGAUGUGGGGGUUGAUCUCUUUUCCCAUGUAACUUGUGAUAGAAUGAGAGGGAAUAGCCUCAAGUUGCACCAGGGGAGAUUCAGGUUGGAUGUUAGGAAUUAUUUCUCUCAGAGGUGAUGGGCCCAGGGAGGUGAGUUACCAAACCUGAAAGUGUUCAAGAAAUGUUUAGAUGUUGUUUAGUGGUUUAGCGAGAGUUAUUGGUGAUAGGUGAAUGGUUGGAGUGGAUGAUCUUAAAUGUCUUUAUCAAGCUUGGUGAUUCUAUGAUUUUAUGUUUCUAUACAUUUCUGAUAAAUGUGUAGUAUCUUCUAUUGCAGUGCACUGGUGUUACUGUGCUUGCAUCCAGCCCCUCUUCACAAGCUUAUGUGAAUGACUUUUAAGAGGUGUAGAGUUCUAUUUAUGUGGAAGUAAGUGAAUAAUUCUGUAUAUUUGAUACAUCUGCUCUCUUAAUCACUUUAGUUUUCCAGCAGCAUAUUUUGAAUCCUAUGAUUUUUUUUUUUUGUUAAAACUUAAAUAGCUUUUUCUGUAUCCCUAUCAGAAUAAUGUUAUAAAUUUUCAGAAAAGUCUGUUUGCUGUAAGUAUUAAACAAACAGAAAUAGGCAUUUUUAUUUUGGAGAUGAUUUUUAAAGUAGAGAAUUUAAACAUUGUCCUAAAAUUUUUAUCAAGCUAAUCUAUUAUUGUCCCAGCUAUUGUAUCCCUGAGCUAUUGCAGGAAGGUUAUGAGCCCAUAAAAGUCUCUUCCACAUGAAGUUGAAGGAGCACACAGGUGCACUGGCAGGCAGAAGUUUUAUAGUAGCCCAAUCACAGGUAAGAACACCCUGCCCCAGCUCCUUCCAGAACUGUCACAAGAAACUAUUAGACUCACUGCCUGAAUGUGAAACCUGCCAAGAUGAAUCAAUGAGAGCAGAUCUCAAGAGGAGUGUGCAAACUAAGUGGCAUUAUGGAAUACAAGGAAGAACAUGAAGAAAUUUUUAAAAGCUAAUCACGAUUCAUUUAUGUGAAGGAACCAAAGGUGAGGAAAGGGAGGGGUCAAGGUAAUUUGGUGAGGAUUAAUUCUGGAAAAUAAAGGGAAAAGAGGUUAUGUGGGACUAGAUAUGUGUAAACUGGAACUGGUGAGUACUUGCCUCCAUGUCCCACAUUUGAUCACUGCAGUCUGCCUUCUCACACUAGACUCAAUUUGUAUUUUCCUGAGUGAGUGAGGGGAUCUCUGUUUUGUGUGCAUCUGUCUAUGCUAAUAGACAUCUAAGUACCAGCAACUGCAGUCAAACCGAGAAUCAUCCGAUUCACGUCUGUGUGGGACUAGCAACUGGAAGGACCAAGGCACGCAAGUCAGUGUGCGAUUGCCAGCAAAUAUCAAACUGGAUUAGUUAGUGAUAAGGUUAAGUAGCCUGUGAGCCAGGUACUAAAGUUGCAAGGCUAGGACAGAUAUGUGCAUCUGUGGAGGAGCUGCCUGCUGGAAGUACAACCCAGCUGCUGGAGAGAUAGCGGGAUCUGGGAAUUGACUGAGGCACCAAUCUGUAUGCAUGUGUGAUAUAUAAUACGUGCAUAUUUAAUGUUCUUUUCUGUAAAUCUACCCUUCUUUGAAUUGGAAAUUCUUACUCACAUUUGCUAAAUCUAUUUGUAAAGCAUAUAAAAUUGUCAUAUAGUUCUUUCACUAAGUCCCCGCUUGUAUAAGCAUAAAUACUUCAAGUCUUCUGACAUCAAGCCUCUCUCCAUUUUCUUCAUUUAUUCUUGUAAUUGUUUCCUGCAUAUACCUUGAUUCCACUUUAUCUUUUCUGACCUUUAGCCAUCCCAGACAUACUAAUUUCAAGAGAUCUUAACAGUGCUGACACAAGAGACAUUGAAAUUUGAAUUGUCUUUUUUAUGUCUCAUCUAUGUGACAAUGCCCAAUACAGUAUUAUCUUCUACAAAAAAAUUGCAAAAUUUCCAAUAAUCAGUUUGCCAUUGCAUUUGCAGAGUUAAUAGCUGGUGAGACAUUCCUUCUUUCACAAAAUGAAAACAGCUGAAGUUAUUGCAGAUUAUAUAUUUUUUUCAAACUUAGUAUGAGAAAGCAGAAAGUCAAUUUGAAAAGUAUAAUUCAAAUGUUCUAUUAAAAUUCUUAAUGUUUUCACUAUUUAAAUAGCAUUAGUUGUACUGUCUGCAUUAUUUUUAUAUGUCACACAAGAUGAAUGUAACUCUUCCUCCGCUUCUCAAGAAAAAUAACACAACCUGAGAAUUAAAAAAAUAAAACAAGAAGAAAGUCAAAUCAGGACAUAUCUGCUCUUAUACAUAUAUGCUAUGUAAAACAUCUUAGCAGAAAUAAUUGUGAUUUCCUUUGCUUCUGCGUAGAUGAAGAGUAUAUGCAUCUUUUCAGGCAUCUUGAUUCUAUCUAGAAGGAUUCUUUUAUGGGACUGAGUCCUGAGAAUCAACCUCCAGCUAAUGGUCAUGCUUUUUUUUGGGAGGAAAUAAGAAAAGUUUUGAGUUGAAAGGAGUGGCAAGAAGAAAAAAAUUUGAAGAGGAGACAUUCUGGAAUAUGAAACUGUUCUCUCAAUUUCCAGGAAGAGAUUCAGGAAUAGCACACUGAAGUAGCUAAGAGUGAUGGAUUGUGAAGAAAGCAGGAAGAAGACACUUCUUGACUAAUAAAUCAGAGUGCUCACUACAAUUCAUAUGGCUUCCAGUCUUGAAGAUUUCUUACUUUCUUUGAGUACAAUGUUCCUUAAGCACACUUUAAGGCCUCACAGAUGCCACUGUCCUAUAGCAGCACAGUGAAGCACUGAGAUACUCCCCAUAACCCCAUCCUGUCCAGAUUCCCAAUUCUGCAUCCCAGCAAUGUCAACUUUUGUCAGUAUCACUCUACUUGUCAAGUUUUAGGUAGUUUCUAACAUGGUUUGUGGUGGAUUCCUUUGCUGAUAAAUAUAUUUAUAUUUGAAUAUUUAUGAACACAUCAUACUUAAGGAACAUGCCAUUCCUGAAAUGAAACUGUACUUCACAGCUAUAACUGGAAAGAACACAGUGGGACUCCUUUUUGGAAAAAUUCACCCCAGCUAUUUCUUACCACGGAUCUGUGAUGAAAUGUCAGUGGGAACAAUGCUUUACAGACUUUUCAAACAAAAGUAGCCAACAAUAUGCUUUUUCUCUCUUAUAUGAAAUAGGCACAUAGGAGGGUAAAAAACACAUUCAAAUCUAUCAAGAGUACAUCUUUGCAUGAGUCUUCUUAUAACUUAUGUGUAAUUAUCUUUGGCUCUUAAGGUUAAUUUUUAACUUUUUCCUCCGAGUGUUUAUUUUUUAGCAUCAUUAUGCCUCUGUUAAUUUAAAAUCAUCAGAGCUAGUAUGUGCUUUAUGUGUGUGCUUUUGUAUAAGAAAAGAUUCUUAAAACAUGCAGCAUUUGGAAAAUGAAAGGAAGUAGAGGAAAGGAUGGAAGUUUGCAUGUGUUUUGUUGGGGGAUGCAAUUUAAAGAACACUGAGAACUAGGUAACCCCUUCUAUUUCCCACUUGUCCUCUCAAUUUCCUGAGAUAAGUUGCUCCGUAGUUCAAGCGGUACUUUGCCUAAUACACAUCUUGUAAAAGAGAUAUUUGGUCAGUAGAGGAGUCAGAGUACUAUGAAGCAAUCAGCCUCAUAACAUUUGGAAGGUUUCGGUUACAUGCAUACGAACAGUUUGUACACUUCAAUUGAUUUGGCAUAUACCAGAGAUUCAGGAAAACAUCUAAUUCUCUCUCCAGCAUGGUUUGAUCCAAGAAAUGGUGAUUUUUAUAUAUAUGUAUUUUUUAAUUAGUUUGACUUGUUUUUCAAACAUCUUAUUUUUCAAAUUUCAAAGACUUGAAGAUUAUAUCAAGGUUUUCCUCUUAACUCUUAAACUGCUAGCUGUUCAAAACAUACCUGAAAGUUUAAAAACGCUUAAAAAAUCUUUGAUGGUAGAAAGCUGAACUUCUUGCUUCAAAUACCACUGUGAGAGACAGUAAAGGAAAGUCUGGUAGCACCUCUUUUUCAUUUGCUGGGAGAAAUGUCACAAUUUUCAGAUCGACUGAAACAUCGAGAAAGGUGAAUGUGGAAGGUCUCAUAUAAUUGGUAGGAAUCAUUAAUAUGUAGAAGUACAUGAGCAUUAUUAAAUUUAAGAGAAAAACUUAGGCACAAUGAACCUGUAGGAGACAUCCCAACACAGUCAGCGAUAAUGUCAAGACUAGAGAUUCCUCACAAACUUUUAUUCUAUAGAGAAAGAAUCAAUAAUUAGGAAGCUUGGAAACAAAUCUUACAUUUUUCAUUUUCCUAUUUUUUCCUUCCUUAGCUUUAGCACUGAAGAGAAAAUCCAUAUGUGAGUUUUCACUGAGGCAUCUAAAUUAAGGAUUUCUAACUUUAAUAUAUAGGCAAUGACUUUAGUUACAAAGGUAUGUAUUCAUCUAACAUUCUGAGCAAAUAUUGUCUUUAAUAAACCAUAUUUGAAAAGAAGACAGAUUUCCUUUUAUAUAUCCUUUAUAACAACCUGACCUGCACACUACGUAGAUGCUGGAAAUCCUGAGGCAGUAAUGACAUCUGACUGAUUGCAAUACCACUGAUUCAACUUGUUGCAGUGCUGAGUCUUAUGUAGAAGCCUAUGGCGCAGCAACAGAAUUGCUUUCAGCUUGGCAAGAACAGCAUAAACAGUCCUAUGGGCUGAGAUUAUUAGUGCACAAGAGAACUGUAAACAACUUGACUUCAAGAAUCCCAGUUGAAUAACAUACUAUGUUCUACUUGUACUGCAGUUAUAAUGCUAAAUCUCAUGAUUGUAACCUUCACAAAGGAUAAAAGCAACUGAGAAAGUUGGUGCAUAGUACCCAAUUCUUUCUAUAUCAAACAUGCAGAAGGAAAAACUGUCAGUUUGAAAACAAAGAGAAAAAUCUCCUUGUCACUUAA